UCUUGUGGGUUCUGCCAUGGCUGGG
This 25-nucleotide non-coding RNA is filed under the name Cricetulus griseus (Chinese hamster). Lineage: Eukaryota; Metazoa; Chordata; Mammalia; Rodentia; Cricetidae. The record is from RNAcentral.